Molecule: ribosomal RNA, 1270 nt
Filed under: uncultured Sebacina
Lineage: Eukaryota; Fungi; Basidiomycota; Agaricomycetes; Sebacinales; Sebacinaceae
Description: eukaryotic LSU rRNA
Rfam family: Eukaryotic large subunit ribosomal RNA (bases 599-1270)
Source: RNAcentral
UUCCGUAGGUGAACCUGCGGAAGGAUCAUUAAUGAAUUAUAAGCCGAUCGUCUGUGCUGGUGGCAACACAUGUGCACGUCAGUCGCAAAUCCACACACCUGUGCACUUUUGACUUUGGGAUUCGCUUGUUGGCUUGUCUGACUUGCAGCUGGUUGGCCUUGUGCUGGCUUGGGUCUCAGAGUAAAUUUUUACACACUCUGAAUGUAAUGGAAUGUCUUGUGCAUAAUGCAUAUAAAUACAACUUUCAACAACGGAUCUCUUGGCUCUCGCACCGAUGAAGAACGCAGCGAAAUGCGAUAAGUAAUGUGAAUUGCAGAAUUCAGUGAAUCAUCGAAUCUUUGAACGCACCUUGCACCUUUUGGCAUUCCGAAAGGUACACCCGUUUGAGUGUCAUUGUAAUCUCACUCCUUCAACUUUUGUUGACGGAUGUGGACUUGGACUCUGUUGUGUUACUACGACUGGUCUUAAAUGUAUGAGUGCACCCUGCUGUUGCAGCGUCUUCAGUGUGAUAAGCAUCUUCACUGGAUAAAGUUCCUUUGGGACACGCAGGCAUUGUGGGCUCUGUGCUAACAACUGUCUUUGGACAACUUUGACAAUUUGACCUCAAAUCGGGUGGGACUACCCGCUGAACUUAAGCAUAUCAAUAAGCGGAGGAAAAGAAACUAACAAGGAUUCCCCUAGUAACGGCGAGUGAAGAGGGAAAAGCUCAAAUUUUGAAUCUGGUGUCUUUGGCGCCCGAGUUGUAAUCUAGAGAAGUGUUUUCUGCCUUGGACCACACAUAAAUUCCCUGGAAUGGGGUGUCAUAGAGGGUGAGAAUCCCGUUUGUGGUGUGGACUACCUUGGCUCUGUGAUACACUCUCAACGAGUCGAGUUGUUUGGGAAUGCAGCUCAAAAUGGGUGGUAAAUUCCAUCUAAAGCUAAAUACUGGCGAGAGACCGAUAGCGAACAAGUACCGUGAGGGAAAGAUGAAAAGCACUUUGGAAAGAGAGUGAAACAGUACGUGAAAUUGUUGAAAGGGAAGCGUUUGAAGUCAGUCACAUUGGUCGGAAUUCAGCCUGGCUUCUGCCUGGUGUAUUUUCUGGCAAAUGGGUCAGCGUCAAUUUUGACUGAGGGAGAAAGACUUGAGGAAUGUGGCUGUCUUCGGGCAGUGUUAUAGCCUCUUGUUGUAUGUCUCAGUUGGGAUUGAGGAUCGCAGCACGCCUUACGGCCGGGGUACGCUCUCGGUACGUGCUUAGGACGCUGGCAUAAUGGCUUUAAGCGACCCGUCUUG